This 251-nucleotide unclassified non-coding RNA is filed under the name uncultured fungus. RNAcentral's name for it is "sequence contains 5.8S rRNA gene". The stretch from base 1 to 53 matches the Rfam family "5.8S ribosomal RNA", at positions 102 to 154 of the family's 154-position model. The record is from RNAcentral. Lineage: Eukaryota; Fungi.
GAACGCACAUUGCGCCUCCGGGUAUUCCUGGAGGCAUGCCUGUUCGAGCGUCGUUAAAGACCAUGAGGCUUUGCCUUGCGAUGAGCCUCUGGCCGUCUCUUUUCGAGAAAGCCAGUCGCUUCAAACUGAUUGGCGUCUGAAGUCAGCCCAAGCACAGCAAAAUGUGUUCUGAGCCUGGCGGAACGACUGCCCGUACCUAAAUCAUUUAUUGGUCGACCUCGGAUCAGGCAAGAUUACCCGCUGAACUUAAG